This 489-nucleotide ribosomal RNA is filed under the name uncultured bacterium. RNAcentral's name for it is "bacterial SSU rRNA". It matches the Rfam family "Bacterial small subunit ribosomal RNA", at positions 28 to 498 of the family's 1533-position model. The record is from RNAcentral.
GACGAACGCUGGCGGCGUGCCUAAUGCAUGCAAGUCGAGCGGGCUACGAUCUUCGGAUUGUAGCUUAGCGGCGAACGGGUGAGUAACACGUAGGUGAUCUACCCUUCAGAGGAGGACAACCUCAGGAAACUGAGGCUAAACCUUCAUACGUUCACUGGUAGGGAUACUGGUGAAGAAAGAGUUACCUUAGUGGUAGCUGCUGAAGGAUGAGCCUGCGGCCCAUCAGGUAGUUGGUGAGGUAACGGCUCACCAAGCCGAAGACGGGUAACCGGUCUGAGAGGAUGUCCGGUCACACUGGGACUGAGACACGGCCCAGACUCCUACGGGAGGCAGCAGUCGAGAAUAGUCUACAAUGGCCGGAAGGCUGAUAGUGCGACGCCGCGUGAACGAGGGAGCCCUUCGGGGUGUAAAGUUCUUUUCUAUACGAGCAGUGCUAUAUAUAUGGAUAGUAUAUAUAGAGGGAUAGUAGUAUAGGAAUAAGCAACGGCU